CGGUGAAUACGUUCCCGGACCUUGCACACACCGCCCGUCAAGCCAUGGAAGCUGGGUGUACCUAAAGUCGGUAACCGCAAGGAGCCGCCUAGGGUAAACUAGUAACUGGGGCU
Molecule: ribosomal RNA, 113 nt
Filed under: uncultured bacterium
Lineage: Bacteria
Description: partial 16S ribosomal RNA
Rfam family: Bacterial small subunit ribosomal RNA
Source: RNAcentral